CCUACGGGAGGCUGCAGUGGGGGAUAUUGCACAAUGGGGGGAACCCUGAUGCAGCGACGCCGCGUGGGUGAAGGAGGGUUUCGGCGCGUAAAGCCCUAUCGGCAGGGAAGAAGAUGACGGUACCUGACCAAGAAGCCCCGGCUCACGACGUGCCAGCAGCCGCGGUAAGACGAAGGGGGCAAGCGUUAUCCGGAUUUACUGGGUGAAAAGGGGGCGCAGACGGCAUUGCCAGCCAGGAGUGAACGCCCGGGGCCCAACCCCGGGACUGCUCUUGGAACUGCCUGGCUGGAGUACAGGAGGGCCAGGCGGAAUUCCUUGUGUAGCGGUGACAUGCGUAGAUAUUAGGAGG
This 349-nucleotide ribosomal RNA is filed under the name uncultured bacterium. RNAcentral describes it as "partial 16S ribosomal RNA". It matches the Rfam family "Bacterial small subunit ribosomal RNA", at positions 338 to 704 of the family's 1533-position model. The record is from RNAcentral.